CGCUAGCUACAGGCUUAACACAUGCAAGUCGAGGGGCAGCAUGAAGUUUGCUUGCAAACUUUGAUGGCGACCGGCGCACGGGUGAGUAACACGUAUCCAACCUGCCGAUAACUCGGGGAUAGCCUUUCGAAAGAAAGAUUAAUACCCGAUGGCAUGGAAAGUCCGCAUGGUCUUUCCAUUAAAGAACUUCGGUUAUCGAUGGGGAUGCGUUCCAUUAGAUAGUAGGCGGGGUAACGGCCCACCUAGUCAACGAUGGAUAGGGGUUCUGAGAGGAAGGUCCCCCACAUUGGAACUGAGACACGGUCCAAACUCCUACGGGAGGCAGCAGUGAGGAAUAUUGGUCAAUGGACGAGAGUCUGAACCAGCCAAGUAGCGUGAAGGAUGACUGCCCUAUGGGUUGUAAACUUCUUUUAUACGGGAAUAAAGUGUUCCACGUGUGGAAUUUUGUAUGUACCGUAUGAAUAAGGAUCGGCUAACUCCGUGCCAGCAGCCGCGGUAAUACGGAGGAUCCGAGCGUUAUCCGGAUUUAUUGGGUUUAAAGGGAGCGUAGGUGGAAGAUUAAGUCAGCCUGUGAAAGUUUGCGGCUCAACCGUAAAAUUGCAGUUGAUACUGGUUUUCUUGAGUGCAGUAGAGGUGGGCGGAGUUCGUGGUGUAGCGGUGAAAUGCUUAGAUAUCA
Molecule: ribosomal RNA, 676 nt
Filed under: uncultured Bacteroides sp.
Lineage: Bacteria; Pseudomonadati; Bacteroidota; Bacteroidia; Bacteroidales; Bacteroidaceae
Description: bacterial SSU rRNA
Rfam family: Bacterial small subunit ribosomal RNA
Source: RNAcentral